RNAcentral lists this small RNA (31 nucleotides) under Bombyx mori (domestic silkworm). RNAcentral's name for it is "ovarian small RNA-24045". Lineage: Eukaryota; Metazoa; Arthropoda; Insecta; Lepidoptera; Bombycidae. The record is from RNAcentral.
UAUGUGUAGACGUGGUAGCGCUUGCUACCUG